Molecule: ribosomal RNA, 484 nt
Filed under: uncultured bacterium
Lineage: Bacteria
Description: partial 16S ribosomal RNA
Rfam family: Bacterial small subunit ribosomal RNA
Source: RNAcentral
AUUGAACGCUGGCGGCAUGCUUUACACAUGCAAGUCGAACGGCAGCGCGGGCUUCGGCCUGGCGGCGAGUGGCGAACGGGUGAGUAAUGCAUCGGAACGUGCCCAGUAGUGGGGGAUAGCGCGGCGAAAGGCGGAUUAAUACCGCAUACGACCUGAGGGUGAAAGCGGGGGACCGAAAGGCCUCGCGCUAUUGGAGCGGCCGAGGUCGGAUUAGCUAGUUGGUGGGGUAAAGGCUUACCAAGGCGACGAUCCGUAGCUGGUCUGAGAGGACGACCAGCCACACUGGGACUGAGACACGGCCCAGACUCCUACGGGAGGCAGCAGUGGGGAAUUUUGGACAAUGGGGGCAACCCUGAUCCAGCCAUGCCGCGUGCGGGAAGAAGGCCUUCGGGUUGUAAACCGCUUUUGUUCGGGAAGAAAUCCUCUGGGCUAAUACCCCGGGGUGAUGACGGUACCGGAAGAAUAAGCACCGGCUAACUACGUG